GGUUAAGCGACUAAGCGUACACGGUGGAUGCCCUGGCAGUCAGAGGCGAUGAAGGGCGUGCUAAUCUGCGAUAAGCGCCGGUAAGGUGAUAUGAACCGUUAUAACCGGCGAUACCCGAAUGGGGAAACCCAGUGUGACUCGUCACACUAUCAUUAACUGAAUCCAUAGGUUAAUGAGGCGAACCGGGGGAACUGAAACAUCUAAGUACCCCGAGGAAAAGAAAUCAACCGAGAUUCCCCCAGUAGCGGCGAGCGAACGGGGAGGAGCCCAGAGCCUGAAUCAGCAUGUGUGUUAGUGGAAGCGUCUGGAAAGGCGCGCGAUACAGGGUGACAGCCCCGUACACAAAAGCGCAUGUGCUGUGAGCUCGAUGAGUAGGGCGGGACACGUGGUAUCCUGUCUGAAUAUGGGGGGACCAUCCUCCAAGGCUAAAUACUCCUGACUGACCGAUAGUGAACCAGUACCGUGAGGGAAAGGCGAAAAGAACCCCGGCGAGGGGAGUGAAAAAGAACCUGAAACCGUGUACGUACAAGCAGUGGGAGCACAGGUUUACCUGUGUGACUGCGUACCUUUUGUAUAAUGGGUCAGCGACUUAUAUUCUGUAGCAAGGUUAACCGUAUAGGGGAGCCGGAGGGAAACCGAGUCUUAACCGGGCGUUAAGUUGCAGGGUAUAGACCCGAAACCCGGUGAUCUAGCCAUGGGCAGGUUGAAGGUUGGGUAACACUAACUGGAGGACCGAACCGACUAAUGUUGAAAAAUUAGCGGAUGACCUGUGGCUGGGGGUGAAAGGCCAAUCAAACCGGGAGAUAGCUGGUUCUCCCCGAAAGCUAUUUAGGUAGCGCCUCGUGAAUUCAUCUCCGGGGGUAGAGCACUGUUUCGGCUAGGGGGCCAUCCCGGCUUACCAACCCGAUGCAAACUGCGAAUACCGGAGAAUGUUAUCACGGGAGACACACGGCGGGUGCUAACGUCCGUCGUGAAGAGGGAAACAACCCAGACCGCCAGCUAAGGUCCCAAAGUCAUGGUUAAGUGGGAAACGAUGUGGGAAGGCCCAGACAGCCAGGAUGUUGGCUUAGAAGCAGCCAUCAUUUAAAGAAAGCGUAAUAGCUCACUGGUCGAGUCGGCCUGCGCGGAAGAUGUAACGGGGCUAAACCAUGCACCGAAGCUGCGGCAGCGACGCUGAUGCGUUGUUGGGUAGGGGAGCGUUCUGUAAGCCUGUGAAGGUGUGUCGUGAGGCAUGCUGGAGGUAUCAGAAGUGCGAAUGCUGACAUAAGUAACGAUAAAGCGGGUGAAAAGCCCGCUCGCCGGAAGACCAAGGGUUCCUGUCCAACGUUAAUCGGGGCAGGGUGAGUCGACCCCUAAGGCGAGGCCGAAAGGCGUAGUCGAUGGGAAACGGGUUAAUAUUCCCGUACUUGGUGUUACUGCGAAGGGGGGACGGAGAAGGCUAUGUUGGCCGGGCGACGGUUGUCCCGGUUUAAGCGUGUAGGUGUGUGUUCCAGGUAAAUCCGGUUCACUUUAACACUGAGGCGUGACGACGAGGCACUACGGUGCUGAAGCAACAAAUGCCCUGCUUCCAGGAAAAGCCUCUAAGCAUCAGGUAACAUCAAAUCGUACCCCAAACCGACACAGGUGGUCAGGUAGAGAAUACCAAGGCGCUUGAGAGAACUCGGGUGAAGGAACUAGGCAAAAUGGUGCCGUAACUUCGGGAGAAGGCACGCUGACAUGUAGGUGAAGUGAUUUACUCACGGAGCUGAAGUCAGUCGAAGAUACCAGCUGGCUGCAACUGUUUAUUAAAAACACAGCACUGUGCAAACACGAAAGUGGACGUAUACGGUGUGACGCCUGCCCGGUGCCGGAAGGUUAAUUGAUGGGGUCAGCGCAAGCGAAGCUCCUGAUCGAAGCCCCGGUAAACGGCGGCCGUAACUAUAACGGUCCUAAGGUAGCGAAAUUCCUUGUCGGGUAAGUUCCGACCUGCACGAAUGGCGUAAUGAUGGCCAGGCUGUCUCCACCCGAGACUCAGUGAAAUUGAACUCGCUGUGAAGAUGCAGUGUACCCGCGGCAAGACGGAAAGACCCCGUGAACCUUUACUAUAGCUUGACACUGAACAUUGAGCCUUGAUGUGUAGGAUAGGUGGGAGGCUUUGAAGUGUGGACGCCAGUCUGCAUGGAGCCGACCUUGAAAUACCACCCUUUAAUGUUUGAUGUUCUAACGUGGACCCGUAAUCCGGGUUGCGGACAGUGUCUGGUGGGUAGUUUGACUGGGGCGGUCUCCUCCUAAAGAGUAACGGAGGAGCACGAAGGUUGGCUAAUCCUGGUCGGACAUCAGGAGGUUAGUGCAAUGGCAUAAGCCAGCUUGACUGCGAGCGUGACGGCGCGAGCAGGUGCGAAAGCAGGUCAUAGUGAUCCGGUGGUUCUGAAUGGAAGGGCCAUCGCUCAACGGAUAAAAGGUACUCCGGGGAUAACAGGCUGAUACCGCCCAAGAGUUCAUAUCGACGGCGGUGUUUGGCACCUCGAUGUCGGCUCAUCACAUCCUGGGGCUGAAGUAGGUCCCAAGGGUAUGGCUGUUCGCCAUUUAAAGUGGUACGCGAGCUGGGUUUAGAACGUCGUGAGACAGUUCGGUCCCUAUCUGCCGUGGGCGCUGGAGAACUGAGGGGGGCUGCUCCUAGUACGAGAGGACCGGAGUGGACGCAUCACUGGUGUUCGGGUUGUCAUGCCAAUGGCACUGCCCGGUAGCUAAAUGCGGAAGAGAUAAGUGCUGAAAGCAUCUAAGCACGAAACUUGCCCCGAGAUGAGUUCUCCCUGAGACUUAGAGUCUCCUGAAGGAACGUUGAAGACGACGACGUUGAUAGGCCGGGUGUGUAAGCGCAGCGAUGCGUUGAGCUAACCGGUACUAAUGAACCGUGAGGCUUAACCUU
This 2908-nucleotide ribosomal RNA is filed under the name Salmonella enterica. RNAcentral describes it as "23S ribosomal RNA". It matches the Rfam family "Bacterial large subunit ribosomal RNA". Lineage: Bacteria; Pseudomonadati; Pseudomonadota; Gammaproteobacteria; Enterobacterales; Enterobacteriaceae. The record is from RNAcentral. RNAcentral also lists the same sequence under 2 other names.